GGAUGAACGCUGGCGGCGUGCUUAACACAUGCAAGUCGAACGAUGAAGCCCAGCUUGCUGGGUGGAUUAGUGGCGAACGGGUGAGUAACACGUGAGUAACCUGCCCUUGACUCUGGGAUAAGCCUGGGAAACUGGGUCUAAUACUGGAUAUGACUUCUCAUCGCAUGGUGGGGGGUGGAAAGAUUUAUUGGUCUUGGAUGGACUCGCGGCCUAUCAGCUUGUUGGUGAGGUAAUGGCUCACCAAGGCGACGACGGGUAGCCGGCCUGAGAGGGUGACCGGCCACACUGGGACUGAGACACGGCCCAGACUCCUACGGGAGGCAGCAGCGGGGAAUAUUGCACAAUGGGCGCAAGCCUGAUGCAGCGACGCCGCGUGAGGGAUGACGGCCUUCGGGUUGUAAACCUCUUUCAGUAGGGAAGAAGCGAGAGUGACGGUACCUGCAGAAGAAGCGCCGGCUAACUACGUG
This 467-nucleotide ribosomal RNA is filed under the name uncultured bacterium. RNAcentral's name for it is "partial 16S ribosomal RNA". It matches the Rfam family "Bacterial small subunit ribosomal RNA", at positions 27 to 507 of the family's 1533-position model. The record is from RNAcentral.